CAGCAGCCGCGGGAAUACGUAGGUGGCAAGCGUUGUCCGGAAUUAUUGGGCGUAAAGGGCUCGCAGGCGGUUUCUUAAGUCUGAUGUGAAAGCCCCCGGCUCAACCGGGGAGGGUCAUUGGAAACUGGGAAACUUGAGUGCAGAAGAGGAGAGUGGAAUUCCACGUGUAACGGUGAAAUGCGUAGAGAUGUGGAGGAACACCAGUGGCGAAGGCGACUCUCUGGUCUGUAACUGACGCUGAGGAGCGAAAGCGUGGGGAGCGAACAGGAUUAGAUACCCGCGUAGUCCCUGUCUCUUAUAC
This 301-nucleotide ribosomal RNA is filed under the name uncultured bacterium. RNAcentral describes it as "partial 16S ribosomal RNA". It matches the Rfam family "Bacterial small subunit ribosomal RNA", at positions 509 to 807 of the family's 1533-position model. The record is from RNAcentral.